Molecule: long non-coding RNA, 370 nt
Organism: Eriocheir sinensis (Chinese mitten crab)
Lineage: Eukaryota; Metazoa; Arthropoda; Malacostraca; Decapoda; Varunidae
Exons: 3
Source: RefSeq, a predicted model, not a curated record
AUACAUCGUGCUUACUUACCGACAGGAACACGUUAGAUAAUUUUACUCGUCAUGUGUAUCCCACUCCUGUUAGUUUCAUUGUUUGGUAUGGUGUGGCGGCAUUGUCUGUGAUUCAUGAGUGGCUGUCGUACGGUGCAGACUAUAUAAGAUCUUUGUUCCGGGUCUCAAGCAAUAUUUCAAAGCCACGAGUAAGUAAAGUGUAGUGUUUGAGGUGGAAGAGCAGUGGCAGCAGCCGACGCGGGUUACACUUACAGCUGAUCGGGACGGGACGGCCUCUCCCUCCUCCCUCACACUCCCACGACAAAUAUCACACAACAGCUGACUCCAGUGGCCCAGGAGUGUGCCGACUAUAUGCUUUCAAGUCACUCCG